This is a long non-coding RNA of Mytilus californianus (California mussel), 289 nucleotides long. RefSeq lists it as uncharacterized. The record is from RefSeq and is a predicted model, not a curated record. The transcript is spliced from 2 exons. NCBI's taxonomy places the organism in Eukaryota, Metazoa, Mollusca, Bivalvia, Mytilida, Mytilidae.
CUAACAGUAACAUGAUAUCAUGAAUAGUUAAGCUGGACUGACCUUUUGUGAAUUUGUUUUUUUUUUCUGAGCAUAUUUUGAAAUUCACCUAAAUUUCAUAUUCUGGACCAAUAUUAUUGCAGAUAAUUAACCAAUAACUGGUAAUGAAUUUUGAUACAAGAACUGGGAUGUUGCAAAAAAAAAGUAUAAGUCAGUUUCGAAUGGAUGACAUUGGGUAGAAAUUAAACUAAGGCCAAACAAUUUUUUUGAAAAACUACCUUGUGUAAUUAUGUGAAUAAAAAAAAACAAA